ACGCAUCCCGAUGGGGCGCGGCGCGCCCUGCUCCGACCCGAACGGUCGUGCAGCGGGUGGGCCGCCCCCGUCCAAAACCACAAACCCACUGUGAACCUUCACGGCGGAGGGGGGGCCUCGUCCCCCCCGAGGCCGCAUACCAAACUCCAGUUUCAAAGAAUGUCGAGCGGACGUUGUGCCGCCUAUCACACAUAA
Molecule: unclassified non-coding RNA, 195 nt
Filed under: uncultured Basidiomycota
Lineage: Eukaryota; Fungi; Basidiomycota
Description: sequence contains ITS1
Source: RNAcentral